This is a long non-coding RNA of Symphalangus syndactylus (siamang), 365 nucleotides long. RefSeq lists it as uncharacterized. The record is from RefSeq and is a predicted model, not a curated record. Lineage: Eukaryota; Metazoa; Chordata; Mammalia; Primates; Hylobatidae.
GUGUCACUGACCAGAGCAGCUUGAUUCAUUUCCCUCUCUGGGCACCAGGACAUGACUUUCCAAGUCCCAGAAAGCCUGCGUUUGCAGAGUCCCCUGGUUCCAUCUAGAAACCUGGUAAUCAAGUCUCCUUAUGAUGGAAAAGCAUUGGGAGGAAGUGGAACCAAAGCAGAUCCUAUCCAAGGUUCACUUCAAGGCUGAAUUGUUCAUAUGGUGCAACAAAUGUGGCUGAAGGUCCAGGUUGGGUUUUGCUGUCUACAUGUUGAGUGGCCCAGAUCAGAUGCUUCCUGUCAUUAUGCAUCCAUGACUUCCUGGCUCUACACACCCAUUUGUACUCUAGGGCAAGGCAUCCAUUUCCCCAUCUAUUC